UUUAGAAUUUUAGUUAGAGUAACCGUUAUUUGAUUAAUAUAGUUUGCUUAAUAUUGUUUGUAUGAGUUGUUGGGAUAAAGAUUUCCCAUGAAUGUUGCAUCAUAUAUGCAUUAUUGGGCAUGUUUAUUGCAUAAUGUUGAUGUACUUUUGGAGUUUCCUUUAUUGAUUUUAUAAUUAUUCAAAAUGUAGCAUAUCCAGGAGCUUAUUCGUUAUCUGCAAUUUGGACUCUGAUGGCUGGCUCUUGGUGUAGCAUCAUCUAUUGGUCUUGGUAAGUGCGAGUUAUAUUCAAAAUAGCAUGAAAACUCACAACCUGGAUACUGGAAAUCAUUAUACAAUCCAUACUUGAGGGCAAGUUCUCUUUUCUUUUUUGUUUAGUGUGGAUUCUCUCUCUUUUGGAGUUUCCUUUAUUGAUUUUAUAAUUAAUCAAAAUGUAGCAUAUCCAGGAGCUUAUUCGUUAUCUGUAAUUUGGACUCUGAUGGCUGGCUCUUGGUGUAGCAUCAUCUAUUGGUCUUGGUAAGUGCGAGUUAUAUUCAAAAUAGCAUGAAAACUCACAACCUGGAUACUGGAAAUCAUUAUACAAUCCAUACUUGAGGGCAAGUUCUCUUUUCUUUUUUGUUUAGUGUGGAUUCUCUCUCUUUUGGAGUUUCCUUUAUUGAUUUUAUAAUUAAUCAAAAUGUAGCAUAUCCAGGAGCUUAUUCGUUAUCUGCAAUUUGGACUCUGAUGGCUGGCUCUUGGUGUAGCAUCAUCUAUUGGUCUUGGUAAGUGCGAGUUAUAUUCAAAAUAGCAUGAAAACUCACAACCUGGACACUGGAAAUCAUUAUACAAUCCAUACUUGAGGGCAAGUUCUCUUUUCUUUUUUGUUUAGUGUGGAUUCUCUCUCUUUUUUUUUUGUAAUUUCUGGUGCUUUCAGUAACUUCAAUGAUAAUUAGUUUUUUUUUUUCCUUUUUG
This 948-nucleotide long non-coding RNA is filed under the name Malus domestica (apple). RNAcentral's name for it is "long non-coding RNA (MDOM_LNC020037)". The record is from RNAcentral. Lineage: Eukaryota; Viridiplantae; Streptophyta; Magnoliopsida; Rosales; Rosaceae.